UACGGAGGGUGCAAGCGUUAAUCGGAAUUACUGGGCGUAAAGGGCGCGUAGGUGGUUUAAUAAGUUGGCUGUGAAAUUCCUGGGCUUAACCUGGGGUGGUCAGCCAAUACUGUAAGGCUAGAGUACGAGAGAGGGUAGUGGAAUUUCAGGUGUAGCGGUGAAAUGCGUAGAUAUCUGAAGGAACACCAGUGGCGAAGGCGACUACCUGGCUCGAUACUGACACUGAGGCGCGAAAGCGUGGGGAGCAAACAGG
RNAcentral lists this ribosomal RNA (253 nucleotides) under uncultured bacterium. RNAcentral's name for it is "partial 16S ribosomal RNA". It matches the Rfam family "Bacterial small subunit ribosomal RNA", at positions 524 to 776 of the family's 1533-position model. The record is from RNAcentral.